This 253-nucleotide ribosomal RNA is filed under the name uncultured bacterium. RNAcentral describes it as "partial 16S ribosomal RNA". It matches the Rfam family "Bacterial small subunit ribosomal RNA", at positions 524 to 776 of the family's 1533-position model. The record is from RNAcentral.
UACAGAGGGCUCAAGCGUUGUUCGGAUUCAUUGGGCGUAAAGGGCGCGUAGGCGGCGCGGUAAGUCGGGUGUGAAAUCUCGGAGCUUAACUCCGAAACUGCAUUCGAUACUGCCGUGCUUGAGGACUGGAGAGGAGACUGGAAUUUACGGUGUAGCGGUGAAAUGCGCAGAUAUCAGGAGGAACACCGGUGGCGAAGGCGGAUCUCUGGGCCAUUACUGACGCUGGGGUGCGAAAGCGUGGGGAGCAAACAGG